This 614-nucleotide ribosomal RNA is filed under the name Goniopsis pulchra. RNAcentral's name for it is "partial 16S ribosomal RNA". It matches the Rfam family "Bacterial large subunit ribosomal RNA", at positions 1810 to 2688 of the family's 2925-position model. Lineage: Eukaryota; Metazoa; Arthropoda; Malacostraca; Decapoda; Grapsidae. The record is from RNAcentral.
AAAACAUGUCUGUUUGAAGAUGUAAACAGUCUAGCCUGCCCACUGAUAAUUUUUAAAGGGCCGCGGUAUUCUGACCGUGCAAAGGUAGCAUAAUCGUUAGUUUCUUAAUUGGGAUCUUGUAUGAAUGGUUGGACAAAAGAAAAACUGUCUCUAUAGUUUAUAUCGAAUUUAACUUUUAAGUGAAAAGGCUUAAAUGUAUUGAAGGGACGAUAAGACCCUAUAAAGCUUGAUAUUUUAUAAUAGUAGAUUAAAUUUUAUAACUAUAAAAAUUUAUUGUUAAAAGUUUAUUUUAUUGGGGCGAUAAAAGUAAAAUGCUUAAUAACUGCUUUAGAUUCACGACAAAUAUAGUUGAUUAAUAUUUAUAUAUUAAUGGAUCCUAGAUAAAGAUUAAAAGAUUAAGUUACUUUAGGGAUAACAGCGUUAUUUUUUUUGAGAGUUCUUAUCGAAAAAAAAGUUUGCGACCUCGAUGUUGAAUUAAAAUUUCUUUAUAAUUGUAGCAGUUAUAAAAGAAGGUCUGUUCGACCUUUAAAUUUUUACAUGAUUUGAGUUCAGACCGGCAUGAGCCAGGUCGGUUUCUAUCUUUUAAUUAAGGUAAAGAUUGUUUUAGUACGAAA